UCCGACGAGAAAAGAUGGUUGCACAACUUUCCCUGUCGAGAUAUGAAAUUUUCUCGCUUUUAGUCAUUGAGACUUCUAAUCAAGAAUAUCAAGUCUAAACAAAAUUGAAUCGCAGAAUGACUGCAGAGGCCAAUACACGAGGCUUUUCAAACGUCGAGAAAAACAAAACUGAAUGGUAAUUGGGGGAUCGUAGACGCGAGGCAGUUUGGCGAAACGAAAGUAUUUAACAGCCAGCUCGCCGUCCGCAUUCUCAGGUGACAAGCUUUUACGGCGCUCACCUGGACCUGGCUGGGGCAUUUCUGCGCCACCGUGGAAACUAUAGCGCGCCAUAUCGCUACAUAUAUGUACAUUCGUCGUUCAGCAAAUAAGGGACUUGUUAAGUGCACCGAGGCUGGCGAGUCACGCCGUCCUGAGACGGGUUUCGCGCACUCUUUGACCAUAAGGGGAACACAAUACUUACCUCUUAUCUCUGCAUCCUGUACUUGCAGCUGGAAAGUAUAAAACUGUAUCGAGAGAGCAAAUGCUCUGUGCUAGUAGCGCUCCAUUUGUUACGAUAUAUCUUAAUAUUUAAUCUGAAGACCACUUUAAUGUCUGACAGAAAUUUACUGUGUUUAGAGGUAAUUCGAGGAUAAGACAUUCAGGAAACAGUAUUUAUGCAAUGUAUGAACUGCAUACAAAUCUAAACAUUAGAACGUGUCUCUUCUUAAAAUAGAGAUGCAAUGAUAUAGGGACAAAACCUUGUAGUACGUAGAUGGAUUCGUUAUGUAACAUAAGGAAAGUGGAUAUAAGCAACUUCGCAGAAAUAAAUCAGGUGUUUUGUGGUU
Long non-coding RNA from Hylaeus volcanicus, 824 nucleotides. RefSeq lists it as uncharacterized. NCBI's taxonomy places the organism in Eukaryota, Metazoa, Arthropoda, Insecta, Hymenoptera, Colletidae. The transcript is spliced from 3 exons. The record is from RefSeq and is a predicted model, not a curated record.